This 337-nucleotide long non-coding RNA is filed under the name Homo sapiens (human). RNAcentral's name for it is "HSALNT0135451". Lineage: Eukaryota; Metazoa; Chordata; Mammalia; Primates; Hominidae. The record is from RNAcentral.
UGGGUGACUCCCUGAAACUUCUAAGCAAGAGGAGAAAAUGUAUCCUCCCAAAGCAGGGAAGCAAGCCACCAUGUGGUGAGCUGCCCUACUGAGAAGCUCACAUAGCAAGGAGGGCAGCCUCCAGCCUGCAGCCACUGAGAAACUGAGGUCCACAGGGACUGAACCCUGCCAAUAACCUCUUGAUGAGCUUGGAAGUCAAUCCACCCCCAGUUAAGCUUGGAGAUGACUGCAGGCCCAGCCAUCACCUUGACUACAGCCUCACGGCCAACCCAGAAGCAGAGAGCCCGGCUAAGUGAUGGCCAGGUUCCUGACUCACAGAAACUAUGAGAUAAUAAAU